UACGAAGGGGGCUAGCGUUGUUCGGAAUUACUGGGCGUAAAGCGCGCGCAGGCGGUCCUUCAAGUCAGAGGUGAAAGCCCAGAGCUCAACUCUGGAACGGCCUUUGAAACUAGAGGACUUGGGUACGGGAGAGGUGAGUGGAAUUCCGAGUGUAGAGGUGAAAUUCGUAGAUAUUCGGAAGAACACCAGUGGCGAAGGCGGCUCACUGGCCCGUUACCGACGCUCAGGCGCGACAGCGUGGGGAGCAAACAGG
Molecule: ribosomal RNA, 253 nt
Filed under: uncultured bacterium
Lineage: Bacteria
Also listed under: 1 other name
Description: partial 16S ribosomal RNA
Rfam family: Bacterial small subunit ribosomal RNA
Source: RNAcentral